This 318-nucleotide ribosomal RNA is filed under the name uncultured eukaryote. RNAcentral's name for it is "partial large subunit ribosomal RNA". It matches the Rfam family "Eukaryotic large subunit ribosomal RNA", at positions 40 to 350 of the family's 3401-position model. The record is from RNAcentral.
AUAUCAGUAGCGGAGGAAAAGAAACUAACAAGGAUUCCCUUAGUAGCGGCGAGCGAAGAGGGAAGUAGCCCAUAACCGAAUCCCGUGGCGUGACGUCAUUGGGAAAUGUGGUGUUGGGGUGGCUACUUGCUGUGCCUCUGACGUUUCUAAGUCCACGUGAAUGUGGCUCAUUGCCCAGGGAGGGUGUAAGGCCCGUAAGGACUGUCGGAGCGCGGCGCGUGGCUACUCAAGAGUCGGGUUGUUUGGGAAUGCAGCCCUAAUCGGGUGGUAAACUCCAUCCAAGGCUACAUAUAACACGAGACCGAUAGCGCACAAGUA